UACGUAGGGGGCCAGCGUUGUUCGGAAUUACUGGGUGUAAAGGGUUCGUAGGCGGUGCGGCAAGUUGGGCGUGAAAUCUCUGGGCUCAACCCAGAGACGGCUUCCAAAACUGCUGUGCUUGAGUGUGAGAGAGGCUCGUGGAAUUGCAGGUGUAGCGGUGAAAUGCGUAGAUAUCUGCAGGAACACCCGUGGCGAAAGCGGCGAGCUGGAUCACUACUGACGCUGAAGAACGAAAGCUAGGGGAGCAAACAGG
Molecule: ribosomal RNA, 253 nt
Filed under: uncultured bacterium
Lineage: Bacteria
Description: partial 16S ribosomal RNA
Rfam family: Bacterial small subunit ribosomal RNA
Source: RNAcentral